CACCAUAACAAGUUGAAGCUGCCAGCAUGAUCUUAAUUUGCCUCCUUUGUAAGCGAAAGAUCAUGCUGGCAGUUUCACCUAGUUGUUGA
RNAcentral lists this microRNA precursor (89 nucleotides) under Trifolium pratense (red clover). Its description in RNAcentral is "pre miRNA MIR167_1". It matches the Rfam family "MIR167 microRNA precursor family". Lineage: Eukaryota; Viridiplantae; Streptophyta; Magnoliopsida; Fabales; Fabaceae. The record is from RNAcentral.